Molecule: unclassified non-coding RNA, 204 nt
Filed under: Peptostreptococcaceae bacterium pGA-8
Lineage: Bacteria; Bacillati; Bacillota; Clostridia; Peptostreptococcales; Peptostreptococcaceae
Description: Bacterial large signal recognition particle RNA
Rfam family: Bacterial small signal recognition particle RNA (bases 69-168)
Source: RNAcentral
UUUGACAAGAUAGCCAAAAAACAAUAUAAUAUAUCAAGCGGUUGCCUUUAAGCAGCUUCGCAUACAUGGUUUGGGUCCUGCGCAAUAGGAUGCCGUGAACCUUGUCAGGUCCGGAAGGAAGCAGCAAUAAGCGGAAGUUCUUAUGUGCCGCAGUUUCGCCUUCUCUAGGGUAUGCGAGGCUGCUUGAAGGCAAUUUUUAUUAGA